This 444-nucleotide ribosomal RNA is filed under the name uncultured bacterium. Its description in RNAcentral is "bacterial SSU rRNA". It matches the Rfam family "Bacterial small subunit ribosomal RNA", at positions 28 to 507 of the family's 1533-position model. The record is from RNAcentral.
GAUGAGCGCUGGCGGUAUGCCUAACACAUGCAAGUCGUACGCCUCACUUCGGUGAGGAGUGGCGGACGGGUGAGUAACACGUUAGUACCUGCCCCAAAGUGGGGAAUAACUGCCCGAAAGGGUAGCUAAUACCCCAUAGUCUCCGGUUUAUCCGGAGUAAAGAUUUAUCGCUUUGGGAGGGGCUUGCGUUUGAUUAGCUAGUUGGUGAGGGUAAUGGCCCACCAAGGCGACGAUCAAUAGCUGGAUCGAGAGGUUGACCAGCCACACUGGGACUGAGAUACGGCCCAGACUCCUACGGGAGGCAGCAGUGAGGAAUCUUCCACAAUGGGCGAAAGCCUGAUGGAGCAAUACCGCGUGCAGGAUGAAGCUUUUUCGGAGUGUAAACUGCUUUUCUGAAGGAAGAUUAUGACGGUACUUCAGGAAUAAGGAUCGGCUAACUACGUG